AUACCCGAAUUCAUUUCAGAUCAAACACAACACUACUAUUUUGACUCUGAAGGAAACUUUCCCGUGUGUUCCUUACCCUGACUGUUGUGAAGUCUAGCUCCCUUUUAAAUGGAAAAUGAACAUUUUUAAUUUUAGAAAAUGUUGAACUUAUAAGAAGACUGCAAUAUGGCUAAAACUAUUUAUGAAGUUUGAAUUGAAUUUGGUAAAGGUUUGGGGGGAAUCUGAAACUGCCUUUCUCAGCAAAUAAGCUGUUUGUGUGAGAAACUUCUGAGUCUCAGGAAGACUCAGAAAUCCCAGCUUGGGAGCAGGCUCGCUCUGAGACCUGGGACAAGUCACUUAGCAAGAUCAUCACAGGUAUUUGGCUCCCAGGAGAGCUUUUCUGAAGAGCUCAGCCACAGUGUCAAUGUAUUAAUUCUGCAAUUAUAUCAUUGGAUAAAUAUAUUAAGGACCAGAUGGAUUAAUGCAUAUGCAUAAAUCUAAAGAGCAAGGCCCUAAUCUAGUACAGUGUUGUCUUUGCUGGAACCAGUAAAGGCAAAACAUGAUAGUAUUUCUGUGUAGACAAAUACCACUCCUCCUUUGCCAAAAAUGUAGAAUUUCCACUAGAAUAUUGAAAUUCCUUGUUUUUCUGCAUCAUGUCAAAUUCUCCCGCUAUUGUUUAAAUGCAAGAACCAAGCACACAAACCAGGCAUUGUUUAAUCCUCCUCUCCUUUAUCACCUUGCUUUGUGUACAAGAGAGAGAGGCUUCGACUGCGUUUCCCGCGACGGGACGUUGUCUCGUGCGGUAGAUGGAUGGGCCGUGCUCCCGCGCUGCGGCAGGCGCGAGAGCCGCGGGAAAGGGUCAGAGCUGCUGCGCCGCCAUGGAGCCCCCUCCCUCCUCCUCCUCCUCCUCCUCCUCCUCGUGCGCGCCCUCGUCCUGCCCGCGCUGCCGGGGGCUCGCCGGGCGCGCUGGACGUGGGCAUGCCUUGAUUGCGCCUCCUGCUACUGCGGGGGAGAGGCGGGCACGGCACGGGGUGCCGGCCGGUUUGUUUUCACAUCACGAGCAAAAAACCAAGAGGCAGUAGCUGCUGUAGGAGCCAUUGCAUAGUAGCUGAGUGCAUCUGCUUUUUCUCACCUCCAAAGCGAAUCAAUAUGGCUUUAAAUGAUUUCCCCAACGCCUAGUUUUCUUACCUUGCACUGCUGCUAUUCCAGCCGUGCUAUUACCCGGUCAUUCCUACCUCUUCCUUUCAUCUCUCCCUCGGCUUCUUCUCUUUGCCUUCUCUUAAAAAUACAUACAAAAUGCUCAGUGGAGCAGCUUGCUUUUGCUCUGUGUCGUUUGCUCGUGCACACACCCAUUUUCCAUCCCUUGCAGCCACACGCACGCUCACCACGGUGCCUCAGUACGCACGCUACCUGCCUGCAUCUCCAUCUCCCUCCCUCACACGCUGCCUAGCUGAUCUCUGCUUAAGCAACAUCUGCUUAUCAGGAGUUUUUCUUCUGAUGCUGUGGUUAGUGAGUAAGUGCUCGUGUUUCCUUGCAUUUCUGUCUUUCAAAGAUAUUCGAGCUUAAAAAAAAAAAAAAAAAGACAUUUUAAAAAUUGAAUAAUCUGUUGAGCUCUGUUUUUUUUUUCUCUCCGGUACGUCUAACCCCCACUGGGGCAGGCAUGGCUGAGAGCAAACCUGUAACUAGUGCUAAAAAUAAAAGACCUCCCCACAGUCUGGCUGAGCUCUAACUAAAAUAUGGAUAACCCAUGCUUUUGGAACUGCCCCAUUUUUCUAGAUCCCUCCUAAUCUUGGAUUUGGUUUGUCUGGAUCGCUGGGUACUCCUGGCUGUAUAAAAAGCCCUCAGAAAUGCAUAUGCAUCAUCUAAGUAUAUUGCCGUAGCGGUGAUACGGCCCAGCGAGAGCAGCGCUCCACCCGUGCAGGCAGCUUGUGCACCCAGCCCCCGAAUCCCCUUAUCACUUCAGUGGUGCACAUAAACACAUUAGCUGCUUAUUCCAGGCAGAACUCGCAGCUUACAAAUCCAAACUGCUUUUGCUGGCGUAAUCAUGCUUUUUAUUUAUGUCAUGUAUUGCUCUCACUAUUUUUGCAUUUUGUGGUGCUGUUCUAUGCCCAGGCACCCACUUAAAGAGAUGAGGAGAUCGUUAUUUGCUUCUGAUUAGCACAGUGCAUUUGAGUGGCAUGCUGGAGGCAAAAAUUUAAAAUGCAUCAAAAUGCAAAUAUGCCCCCAUUGACCUCUGAAAAACUGUGUUACAAGUGCUUUCAAAGAAAGCUAGAAAGGAAAAGGCAAGAGAUUACAAGUUUGCAGAGGUUUCUGAUAUUAAAAAAGAAUUCAUAGAGAAUAGUUACUUAGAAGGUGGUAUUGUGAGUAAUGCAGAAAGCCUUUUUCCCUUUUAAGGGGAAGUGGAGGGGGCAGAAACCCCUGCCCAUCUUACGUAUCACUCUGCUUACUUUGCUAGAAGAACCACUGAAGUGAAUGGGGUUGCUUGUGGCGCAUAUUUGCAUAUGCCAAGAUUCAAAUAUGUAGUCUAAUAUAUGGCAAAGGCCCAGAAUGAGAGACACAGAAAUUAUUCAUGAUCCCUUCUUUCAGUCUGAAAGCCUCCUUCUAUUACCUCAGUUUACUGACACUGCAUUUAAGAAGUAAAUAAUUUUCAUGAAGAAAGGUGGGACAGACGAAUUUGCUUGGAGAAAAUAACGUUGGGAUUAAGACAAGUGGCAUCCCUAUAGUAAUGUAUGCCUGAGAAGUGCAUUAUGGAAUAAGAGGCAAUGUUAUGUGAGUUAUGUGACCUAGUUGCUCUUUCACAGUCACCAGGAAUAGUGAAUGUACUCUUUAGCUAGAGAAGAUUGCAGUUGUUGGAUUACUUUAGCAAAAAAACAAGUCUCCCACCCAAAAACAUAAGCUUCUGCCCUGGCCCUAUCCUUUUUUUCCACAGUUCUUUUCUGCAGAUAUUUGUGUGUCUGGAGGCAUGACUUUCUCUAAUCCCCUGACACAGAUCCAAAAAUGGUGGUGUCCUCAAAGCAAGUCUAAAUGCUUUAAAAUCUUUUACCCUCGCCAAGCAACAGUUCAUGUGGCUGUGUUAAUAUUAGUUCAGUGUUCAAAUUAGCACUACUGCUUUAAUGAGGGAAGUCGUUAGGGCAUCCUUUGAAUAGUCACCUCACUGCGUUACGCAUUGCUGAUGUUCGGUGUCUCUUGAUGCAAUGAAUACCACAUAGAGCAUCGCUGCUGUUACUAACGGCAUAUUUUUAUUUGCCAGACUGUAUGAGUAUCUAAUGUGGUAAACACUACAAAUCAGCAAAAGGAAAAGGAGCACCAGUCAGGAAAAUAAUGUGUAGCCAUAGCUAGCAUGCAAAAAUCAAGUGGAAGAAGAAAAAGCAGGUUAUAUCUCCCCCUCCCCAUCUCACAGUGGUUGUUGUGGCAUUGCUUAGCUAGUGUCUCUGGCUCUGGCUAUUGCUUCAUUGCACUUGGCCAUAAAUGAAAGCUAUCUAAUGCUAAUGACCAUGGUGCCCACCCUAAUCAUGCAUUUGAAAUAUUAAUAAAAAUAAUUUAUGUCAUGUGACUGCUUUUUAACUAGCUGCUUUCAGGACUUUAGAUCAGGAUUAUAAAAGACGUGCAUUUAUAAAUUAUUAGCCUUGAGCACAUAAGCACUGUAUACUAUGGGGAGCACUUUUGUAGCACUUUAAAUUAAUUUAUUGUUAUUCAUUCCAGCUGUCUGUGAUGUAAACCUUUGGCUAUAAAUUUGUACCAUCAUCCAACACACCAUUAAACUAAAGUGGUGCCCGUGCUGGAGCAUAUAAUAAAACAUAUGAAUAAGAUUUCUGUGGGGACACUUUUUUUAAACUCUCUUCUCAGUUAAUGACACAAGAAAAGUGAGAUAACAUAGUCACCCUGUAACUAUGCAUUCAUUAAAAUAUGUCUGGUAGGGAAGAGUUUUAAAUUUGCACUUCUAUUGAAUUCUGACUCAAUGUUUUUCUUUACCAGAUUGUUUCAAUUCAUAUCCUAUCUCAAGCAAAAGGCUUUGUCUGAAUCCAUCGUGAAGUCACCAGCUAAGACUGCCAGAGGAUUUUGCUGGACCUUAACUUUUCAGUAGUGGAAAUAGCUCCUAGGCACUGAAUCGCAGACCAACAAGGGCAGAGCACUUUCACUGUCUUAUCUCCUCUGCCGGCAAACAUUCCUUCUCCUACAGAUCACCAUUAGGGUAGCAAAACUUUAUCUGCAUGACUAACACCAUAAUGUCUUAAUCCACUUAACUGUAUAGAUAUAUUUCAUGCCAGCCCAUUGGGAUACAAUUUCCUAAACUUUAAAGCAAGUUGUGAUCAUGCAGUACUCCACCAAGCAGAGUCACAACCAUCCAUUGCUUUUCUCUUUGCAGAUGACAGAGCGCACACCUGUUUGAAGGAGGUCCUGACUGAUCUUCCUCUGAUUUUGGUAAGAGUUUGGCUGCUCAGAAUUUCUCAGAUUUAGGCUCCUACUCCUGGUAUAAAAUAUAGCUACAUAAAAACAGAGAUACAAACCUGAAUGUCAGAUUCUCAGCUGAGAUAAUAUAGCACAGCUCCUUUAAUUUGUACCAGCUGCUCAUAUAUCACAUGCUUUUCAGAACUAGAGCUUGCCAAGUUAUUCACGUAUAGGAGGGCCUUUUGAAAUUCAGCUGAGAGCAGAAAAUGGUACCCAUGAAGACUGUAUCUUUGAUUGUAAAUAAUCUCAUUAAUCUAAAGACUAGUUUCAGGAACUAAAGUUCUCUUUUCCAUAAAUUUCCAAACCUAUCCUAAAUUUUCUUAGUUUAAGGAUCUAAGUAUUUGAUUUGGGAUCAUCUCUAAAUAAUCUGCAAGCAGAAUAUCUGAACCACUUGGGAAUAUGUGUAGAUGAGUAACUGCCCUUUACACACAAAAAUUAACAUUUGACUAUAGGACUAACAAAAGAUACUGUCCUCCUGGAGAAUUUUUGUUUUGGUCCAAAUAUCUACAAGUUAGGAAGUUUAUCUCAACUGUCUAAAGUUCUUCAAAUAUAUUCAAUAGAAACUUUGAAAAGGAGCCUUUGGCUCUCACCAGGGCUGAAUUCUGCUCUGCGAACUGCUCUGGAUAUUUGAAUCAUACUGGUGCUCCUAGAAAAAGAUUGGCACUUGAAUGAAGUGUACCAUACCAUAGAUAAUGUAUGAACGAUCUUUUUUCAGUCUGAUUUGCAUGCCACAGCAAGACCUUCAUGUGGAGAUCUGCAUGAGAAGGAAAAAUAAUGGUGGGUGGAAGAGAAGACAGGAACAACGUGAACUAUAUUUACAUUCUUGGGAAAAGGGGGUGAGAGAUCAGAUUUAUCUACUCAUAUUAUCCUUGUCUCUGAACAAAACACAAAUCAAUAUCAGCUUGCACUUUUAUAUCUCUUCCAAUUAAAAGAAAACAAAAUUAUGGCAAUCUUCUGUCUGAUUACAAAAGAUAUUUCGGGUUGUGGCUGGAUAAAGGGUCUUCACCUGCUAUCUAGCAAACAAGGAGUUAAUCACAGUUGAAGCUUCACUGACAGAGGUGAUUAGGACAAGAGCUAUAAAUCAGUUGCCUGAGAUGCAAAGGGAUGUUGAUUACUGGGCAAGAGGACAGGUUUUAGUUGUUGUCUUAGGUGCGAGUAUGAAGACCUGGGUAGCUGCAGCAGUUGUUCUGGUUUGAACUCUUCCUUCCUGGGAAAGCUGUCUACCUAUGUAGUUUGCUUUGAAAGAAGACAUUACCCACUGCCUCCAUCUGUGGUGUUCAUCUUUGCCAGUUAUAGUUAUGUUCUGUCCGAGGAUACAUACAAGAAAGCCCUUGUUUUUUAUUGAUGUGCUAAGCUUGUUUUAAAUUUUGUUCUAACUUGCUUACUACAGAAGAAGAAGACUUGGUCAUGUGAAAAAAGGUUAUGCAGAGCUUUCCUUUUUAUUAAUUGGCUUAUCAACUGCUGCUUGAUGUAUUUAAAUAAUCGGAGGAGAACUAACUAUAUAUUAUCUAUAUAACUUAGAUGGCUUUAAAAGAAGAGACAGUGUUGUGUUUAAGUUGCAGCAUCCAAGAUGACAGAGUUCAUUUCCCAGCUGCUAAUGAAUCUUCUCAGCUGUUCAUGCCUCAAUUUCUUAUCAAUUGCCUUUUGUUUCCUCUUACUUAAACUGUAAUCUUUUGGGAGUCAUAGCUCUAGCCACUACAUACUACCUUAGGUUGCUCAAGUCUUCUAAAAGUGCCUCAACAAGUGGUGCUCCUCUUCAGCUUCCGUGCUGGCGAUACCUGCUGAUGCCACCGUUUGGCAGGAUGAAGCUCUUUAUUCCAUUACAGGGCCUGGCAGCUCCUGCCCGUGUGUGCCGUGAAGCAGUGAAGAAGGGCCCUUGCCCCAAGGACCACGCCUCAGCUAAGAGACCAGAGAGAAUGGGUGGGUGCCAGGAACAGAGGACAACAGAAGGAAACGAUGACCGUGCCUCCACAGUUUGGCAAAAGCAGUCUCGAAAGCAGCUGUAAGAAAGGCAUCCUUUGUCCUUCACUCACACAGCCGUGGCCAGACUGUCGGAGGGGGCCCUGGUCAUCCGCUAGCCGUGCUCACGGUCACCGGGCGAAGCGUGCCCUGGAGAGGGCUUGCAGCCGAGACACUGCGCUCAAAGCGAUUGCCAUGCACGCCACAUCAGCGCCUCACAGACAUAUGCUAGCAUUUGUGGUACUGUCAAAAUACGCUUUCGAGCCUGUUUCAGCAGCAAGCCUGCUUAGACUCCGUGCCAGGAAAUGUUAAUUACUGUGGUACAAUCUUCUGUUUUGUGUGGUGCAAUAACAAUUAAUUUAUACCAUUUGGAAAACACUUACACAUUUUUAUUAAAAAUCAAUAAAAGCAAGUCAAUACAGUGUAAAGUAUACAAUAUCAAAAUGAAAAGCUCUUGUUUUUAUACUUGGGCAUCCCUCAUAAAAUUUCACUGUUGAUUCAGGCAGCUUGUCUGUUCUAAUCUAAUGAGGAGCUGUCAUGUUUCUUUUCAGCAUUUUGGAAACAAAUAAAAAUGGCUGCCCAAUACAUGGUAAGAGAAUGCAAUAAGUAACCCCCAAGUGGUAAGUCAAUAUGAUGAUGUAAAUGCUGCUGCAUUCACUUCUCUGCAUCGUGUGACCUGACAAUCCAUGGCAUCCAUUUUGAGUUAGGAUGGAGGUUAACUUUUAUUUAUCAUUAUAAUUAGGAAAACACUAGCUCUAAAAGAGACUGCUCCAUUACUAGGAGGUGUCACGACAGAGUAAAUUCCAUAGCAAUAUUUGCAUUUUAACAGGUCAAAGAGUAAAACAAACUAAUCAUUUCUUCCUGGGAAAACCUGUUUAUUCUUCAUAAUCUAAUGAAUUACUCGAACAUUGAUUUCAGAGAUUCUUCUGAAACAAAAUCAUGAGUGGUUUUUUUGCCCUUGCUCCAAGCAUGCGUGGUGCUGUGGAGCCUGGCAGGGCUCAUGGUUCCUAGGCUUACCUGCAGCAAGCACGGGGCAAGACCAAAGUUUCUCAGGUGGCUUAAAUCCUGGCUCCUCAGCAAGGCACAGUUUCAGGGAGCUUGUGCUGGAGACCACAGAGCCCCCCAUGUUCCCCACCGCUGCAGCAAGGAGCACCUUGCCUUUUAAAAUGCAAACUACUCUUCCCAUUGCCAUAACCCAUUGCCAUGUUUUGCGCAUUUCUGAGUGUAUCUGCAGUAGUUUUAGCUUGAUCUUUUAACAGUGAACCAGAACAGAAACGAAUGGGGUGGCUUUAAUCUUGUGAAAGCACUAAUGUCAUGUAGGCAGUUGGUGACAUACAUUGUGGAUAGGUAGAGCACCAGCUCCUGGCUAUAGCUAGAAGUAUCAUGCGUUCCAGUUUGAAGGUUUUUAUUAUUUUUUUUAAUAUUGAAUUGAUGGAUAAUCCUUUUAAAUGUGUGAAAUGCUCCAGAUAUGAUAGUAGUUUUUCAGAGCUAUUAGACAACUCUGGUAGGUCAUGACAGUGGGCUGGGAGGACAGGCGUCACUGAGGUAAAAAUGUAAUAACUAGACUAAUUUAAAAUGGAUAGAGAAUUCAUACAAAACUGCCAGGAACUCUUUCUUUGUCUUGCUGCAGGGAUAUUGGCAAUCUAGACAUAAGGAAAUAAAAGACUCUGAAAUGAAUUCAAAAUUUUUCAAAUUUGGAUG
Long non-coding RNA from Dromaius novaehollandiae (emu), 8088 nucleotides. RefSeq lists it as uncharacterized. The transcript is spliced from 2 exons. Lineage: Eukaryota; Metazoa; Chordata; Aves; Casuariiformes; Dromaiidae. The record is from RefSeq and is a predicted model, not a curated record.